CCUACGGGAGGCAGCAGUGGGGAAUCUUGCGCAAUGGGCGAAAGCCUGACGCACCAACGCCGCGUGGGGGAUGAGGGCUCUCGGGUUGUAAACCCCUUUCAGCAGGGACGAUUAUGACGGUACCUGCAGAAGAAGGACCGGCCAACUACGUGCCAGCAGCCGCGGUAAU
RNAcentral lists this ribosomal RNA (169 nucleotides) under uncultured Actinomycetes bacterium. RNAcentral describes it as "uncultured actinobacterium partial 16S ribosomal RNA". It matches the Rfam family "Bacterial small subunit ribosomal RNA", at positions 338 to 524 of the family's 1533-position model. Lineage: Bacteria; Bacillati; Actinomycetota; Actinomycetes. The record is from RNAcentral.